Molecule: long non-coding RNA, 1692 nt
Organism: Passer montanus (Eurasian tree sparrow)
Lineage: Eukaryota; Metazoa; Chordata; Aves; Passeriformes; Passeridae
Exons: 4
Source: RefSeq, a predicted model, not a curated record
GCCUCUGUCCCCAGAGCAGAGCUCAGCCCUCGGCCUCGGAGCGAAGGGCACGGCCAGGAGAGCUCGUCCCAAAGCUCCGCAGGCAAAGGGAGCCCGGCCCCCUGAGCAGGGCCUGGUGUGGCAGAGGAAGCUCAGCCUGCACAGAAAGGCGCUCCAAAACACCAUCUCCCCCUCGCAGCCCUCCUCCUCCUGGAAACCAGUGAGCAGGAACUGGGCUGCCUCAGAGUUCAGAUUUGUUCUGCCUUUGUACAAAUCCCCCAAAUCCUAUUCUGGGUCCAGCAAAGCAUCCAUGUGUCCUCCGAAGUACGUGGGGAUCCUUCCCCCACCUGGCUGCUUUCAGAAGUUAAAACGGCCCAAAUUUCCAUCGUUUUGUGGAAGGAGGUCAUGCACAGCCAGGAGAAGCUGGACGUGGUGGAAGUUCUGGUCCUCCAAAUCCCCCACCCGCUGCAGAGGAUAAUUUUAAUCCACGAAAAGGAUGAGUUUUGGCUUUGUGGGAAGUGCUGGGAGCUGUAGUUGUGUCUCUGUGAGUGGGGAAGGCACAACAGCCACUGGAGGAUCUCGGUACCCAGCUGGGGGAUGCUGAAAGGGGUUCCUCUGGUGUCAGGGUCCACUGAGCUUGCCCAACCCUGAGUUUUGUCUUUUGGGUCAAAACCAGAAUAUUUUUUACCAUUCCUGACCUGUUCCAAAAGUGCCUCAUGCAAUGGUCACACUUAUUAGGACUCCUUGCUUUAAGAUAAAGGAUGCCCUAAAUCAGGUCUGUCCACCUAUAAGAUGUCAUUUUUUAAUGAUGAUGUUUUUGCAUUCCAAGAAAUGGAUGGAAAAUUAUUCCUAAAAGCACUGGCUGAUUUCCAUAUCUGCUCCUCCCACCCGAGUUUUCCUUUCAGUCCUGCCUCCCAGCACCCGAUCCAGCUGCGAUUCCUGCAGAUCCCAGCAGGGUUUGAGCGGCUGAAAACCCCCGGGGUUCUGCAGAGUUCCCGGAGCCCGGCCGGGUCCCGCCCAGCCUGACGCGGUGUUUCCAGGGCCGCAGGUUUCCUGCUCACUGGAAACACCACAACAAACCCUAAACACAGCCCAGCCGCCCUGGGGAGGGAGCUGCACCCUCAGCUUCCCAGGAAUUCCCGAAUGCAGCUGAUCCAGAUGUGCAUCCAGCUGCCAGCAGGGAAAAGCGAAGCCAGGACUUCCCCGUCCUGCAGGGUUUUAGCUCAUUUCUUUCAGGAAACCAUGGGAUGUUACACUGUUUAAUCUUUAUAUCUGGAGUGGUUUUAGCCCUUUCUUUAGCAAAAGCUUUUUCUUGUAUCAGCCCGAAGUUCCUUGCAGUUUUUAUUUCCACCACAGGAAGAUAACGCCACAUGUGGGUUGGGCAUCUCUGAUCUCAUAACGUCAAGGAGCCACUUCUGCUUUCCAGGGGGAGGGAGCAGCUCAGUCCCGCUCUGAGCACAUCAGCCAGGCACAGACACUGAAACACAACUCCUGAAUAUCCUCCCCAGGGCUGCCACCCUGCAACAGAGGGACUGGAAAAGUCACGGGUGCUCUUUGGGCUGCCUACCCCAAUUCUGUCCUGUAAAGACCUAAAACUCCCAAAGCCUUCCUGGGUUUUUAUUUCUGUUUAGUAAUAAAUGGUGAUGGUUUAUAAAGGGCACUCUGUGAAUUCAACUCCUUGCUGGUUUUUUGUCGUAUUUUUUUCUAUUUUUC